AUAUGAUUAUAUUAUAUAUGAGAUUAUAUGAUAGUAUAAUCAUAUAGAUUAGAUUCAAUAUUCAAAUUUAAUAUUAUGAUAAUAAAACGACGAUAAAAAUUAUGAUAUAUAAUAUCGUAGAAGUCAAUUUAAAGUUGUAUGAAAACGUAUCUUAAUACAAAUGAUCUAAUAGAUGGUGCGGCAAUCGCUUUUUCUUUAGUCUCUUUUUUUUCUUAUUCUAUUUCUAAAUGUAGUGUGUUAUUAAACGCUGAAUAUUUGAGAUUAAUUUGUGUUUAUCUGAGAAUAAAGUAUAAACCAAUAUCAAAGAAAAAAUUCAGCUUAUAUUUUACAAGAAAAUAUAAUAAUAUUUUAUGAAAUCUUGAAGUAAUUAUUUUUAAAUUUGGUCAAAUAGCAUAUUUUAGUAGUGGUUUUUUGAUAUGUUUUUACAGAAGCUAUAUAUAGAGUGAUAAUUUGAAUUGUGAUUUUAUCAAAAACAUGUGUUCGAUAAUAUGAAAUUAAUGAGAUCAAAAUUAUCGAAUUGCAUCACACAUAUCGAAGUGGACUAGGAUCAUUUCACGAAAACCGAUAUUGCAAGGAAACAGAUCAAGGAAACAGAUCUACUGCAAAUCUACUUCAUGGUGUUCAUGUGUAGUGAAAGCGAUGUAUCUAGAAGUUGAUAUCUUGCAAAGAUUCAUUGAAAUCAAUAAUGAAAUCCAGGACAUCCAAUAACUUUUAUCUAAAAAUUAUAAAAUGCAAUGUUUUUGAUAAAAAGAUUUUAUUUUUCAAAGUUUGGUAGACUUUGAGAGACUUUGAGAGACAGCGAUGAAAUCAUUCAAAUAUCUAAAAUCUAAAAUGCGCUAUAAAUAUCGUCACGUUUAUAUUCGAAACGUAUAUACGUCUAUAUGGAAGCAAUUUUGAAUUCAUAUCUCACAUCAAUUCCAAUCAAUCAUCUCUUAAAUUAGCAAUAUGUUUACAAGUAAGAUAACAUUUUUGAAUUCGCUGGUAGUAAAAAUACAUAAAUAAGGUUAACUAAUUGCAACUAAUAGAUUGGAAACAAUUAUUUAAUUACUUUUAUUUAUAAUGUUUGUCUUAAUUUGAUUAAGAUGACAUGUCAUCUAUACAGUAGCUACUGAGAUAUAUUAUCUAGUUAAUGAAACAAUAGAAUCCUGUAAAUUAUAAUAAUCAAAACUGUUAAAACCGAGUUGAAACGUAAAAAGAAUAAAAAAGAGAAAAGAAUCACGGAGAAAAGAAUUCUCUUACAUAUAGCACUCAUAUAUAUAAUGAGCAACAAUGCUUAUAAAUAAUUUCUUGUUGUAUAUAUAACGCGUCAGAAUUUGUUUUUUUAUGUAUUUUCGUCUAUAUUUCAUUUCUUUAUAUUUUUAUAUUUACAUUUCUAUAAGUCUUUUAAAAGAAAUUCUGAUUUCUCGAACAGGAAUAAUCUCAUAUGUUAUGGACCAUUCUUCUUUCAAGUUUUUUACUUGAUUAAAAUGUUCAACUAAGUUUCGAUUUUUUCUUUUUCUUUUUCAUGCAUACAUUAUUGAAAUCAAAAUGUUUUACAAAAAUUAUUGCCUGCUUCGGUUGCUAAAAAAAGCUUACGUAGCUUACUAGCUUACGUACGAGUCACUCAAAUGACUGUGGAGUUUACUAAUUCAUUGGUUUCAUCUUUGCUAUUACUCUUAACUCAUUCAUUGUAACAAUGAAAAAAAAUGAUCCAAUGUCGUAAUAAAAAAAGUUUAUAUAUCUAUCUUACUAUAUCUCUUAAAACAUGUUCGGUCUUACCAUUUUUAAUACUUAACGGACUCAGGAUUAUCUUAGCCCAAAUUUGCCAUUUCGAUAAAAAUUAUAACGAAGCUUUAUGAUCUUUAUUAACUGUGUUACAUCGUGGAACAGUUAAAAUGGUCGUCUAUUAGAGUUAAAAAUAGAAGAAUUAAAAAAAAAAUUAAAUUUCUUAUAAAGAAAAAUAAUACAAAAUAAGAUAAAUACGUAUAACGUAAUAUAACAAAUUACAUAUAAUAUAUUAUAUAAUAAUUGUAAUAAUGCAUUAUAAUACAUAAGGUAUUGUAAAACAAUGCAAUUAAAUGCUUCUAAAGAAAAGAUGUUAGUCAGAUUGCAACUAGAACUGAUCAGGUGCUGCCAUCUAUUUCAUAACUUCUAUUUAGCAGUUACCCACCGAUACACAAGAUGAUAGAAUAGGAAGUGUAGCAAUGCUCCACGAGAUUACGGAAUAGCAAGAAUUUUUCUAUAUUUAAUAUUAUGAUAAUUAAGCAAUAAUUAUUGUACAUCUAUGUACUUAAUAUUAUAUAACAAUCGAGUAAUUUAUAUGCA
Apis cerana (Asiatic honeybee) is the source of this 2304-nucleotide long non-coding RNA. RefSeq lists it as uncharacterized. The record is from RefSeq and is a predicted model, not a curated record. NCBI's taxonomy places the organism in Eukaryota, Metazoa, Arthropoda, Insecta, Hymenoptera, Apidae.